Molecule: long non-coding RNA, 3901 nt
Filed under: Sus scrofa (pig)
Lineage: Eukaryota; Metazoa; Chordata; Mammalia; Artiodactyla; Suidae
Description: lncRNA (ENSSSCG00050007612.1)
Source: RNAcentral
UAUUUGGAAACAGAGUCUUUGUAGAACUGUAGGUACAGGCCAAAAUGUGCUAAGGAGUACUGACCACAACCAGAAGCUAGGAAAGGCAAGGAAGAAUCUCAGAGGGAGGGUGAUCCUGCUGACACCUUGAUUUUGGCCUUCUAGACUCCAAAUCUAUGAGGGACUUGGUCUUUGUUGUUUUAAGUCACCCCGUACUUUGUGCGUGGUUACAUAGCUCUAGUAUUGCAAAAUACUAGCUAGCGCUUGCUGUUACAGAAAGUAAAUGCCUACCUAAUGUUUUGGAGCCUACUUUAAAAAUACAUAUUUGCUCACAUACACAUAUUUUAAACAUUCAUGUAAAUAAGUCAUUUCUGCAAUAGUUAAGAGUAUAACAACCUAAGGAUAACAUCUGCCUAGAUAUGGUUUAAUUCAAUAAAUAGAUCAGGCUUGCAUUGUCCAAAGUUGGUCUGUGUUCAGAGUGAUUUGUGUGUUCUUUGAAAUAGAUAACCAACUCUGGACCUAAGUAAACUAAGUAGAAAAUCCACAUCUUUCCACAUCCCAAAGUCUUUCUAGAUUUUUCCCCGUGCAAAUAAUUAUCACCUCUUCUCCCAAACCCAGGCACCCCCUGUCCUCACGCUGCACUCUGGAUUUACAAAGCUUCUCAUGGUGCCUUCCCAAUCCGGUCCUCACUCAUGUGUGGAGUGUCCUUUGCUGCCUUCCCAUUAAGGGCAUAAGAAUCUGAAUUGAAAUGCCUGUUUUCUCAGUGAGACUUAUCUCAGCUGGGUGGAAGCAAUUUGAUUAAAUGAGUUCAUGUUAAGGAAUUAAUGGCAACUUAUUUGAUUUUCCCAAGGAUAUUUGCAUUUUGAAAGAGGAAAAUUAUUUACAUAAAUUAGUCUUUUAUUAAAGAAAUUUAGACAGCAUGCAAUACAAAGAAUUGCAUGGUGUAGAAAGAGAUUCAGAAGGAGAUGGCCUUUCACAUUAUUCAUUAUAUCUUACCAUUAGAUAAUAGCCUACUUUACCAUUUUAGUCCAGCAACCAUAUUUCUCCCUCUGAGCAUCAUGGCAACAUAAGUGGAGACUGUAUUUUGAAGACACUGGAUAGUUUAAGAUGAGACUUUAUAUUCAAAUUUAAUAUUCAAGGAAUUUUUAGGAUAAAAACAAUUUUAGGGUUUGCAAAAAAGAGAGCCAGGUUUAAAUUUUGGAGUCAUCUCAUGGGACAAUAUUGAGUUACAUGUCUAUCUUUGGAAUGUCCCAACAUAUUCUGUGUGAACUUAAAACUGAAUAACAAAACACUUAUAAAUUGUCUGGCACAGUGCCUAAAUUUCAUUCAUUCAACAAUACUUAUCGUGGGCCUAUCAUGUCCCUAACACAUAUUAUACAAUCAAGAGAAGUUAUUUUAUUUUCUUUAUUUGUCAGCAAGCACACAGAAAAAAUAUGCAAUAGCAUGACAUUAUAAGGAUUAAAGCACACAUAUCGAUUACAGUUUAGGGAACUAUCAUUGUCUGCCAAUUAGAUUAUUUCUUUUUGCCAUAGCACUUCCAGCUUUGUAUAUAAUAUCCAUUGCGUGCAAGGUGUAGUUUUUAUUAUCAAGUUAAUCUCAAAGAGAUUUGAAUUACAUUAAGUAUUUACAUGAAACAAGAGCUUUUGUCCAGUGAUGGUGAUUGGAUUAAGGUGACAAUUCUAACUACUUCGAGUUUAAUGAUUUUUUUAAGAUACAGAAAUUUUUUUUCUCAAAAUUUACUGUAAGAGAAAAGUAUUUUUGUUUUUUGUAUUAAGGAAAUAUAUACAUGGUAUCUAAAUUGGAAAAAUCUAUUUCUUAAGUUUACAGAGCAAUGAAACUAAAUUUUUAAAACUAAAAUUUGUUCUGAUCUGGUAACUGAGUUUGAGGAAAUUGCUUCUUUCAAUUCCAUAUGAGAACAGUUCAAGAGCUGGCAUUGUCAUACUUCCUAAAUAAGGUGUGAUACAUAAAGAUAAAGAAUGUUUAAGGUCAUGACUUACCCUUAAGCUUCUAUCAAUAAUUAAGCUCUGAAGCCCUUCUAGGCAACAGCACUUUCUGUUUUCAAAGGUUAAUUGCAGAGUUUUUCUGUGUAUUUCUAUCCUUUGAGCAAAUAUUCCAUUAGCAAAUUAAUUCGCUAACUCAAAGUAUCUGAUUAUUUGUGUCUGUUUGCUGGCUGUAACAUCCCUCAGAAGUCCUUCUUUAAUGUAUGGACACAUACAAUGUGUCUAUACUCUAGUAUAACGUGGCUUUGAAUAUGGUUUUUAGCACACAGAAAAGCUUUAUAUGGUUCAACCAGUGCAUAUCAUAUCAUGUGUUUAUCUUUUUUUAUUCUGUCCAUCUGCUUAUCUUCUUCUCAUUUAUAUGUUAAUUUAAAAAUAAGAUAAUCAGGAAUGCUAAUCUGUCAGAUUCAUCUCUGCAGCUUUCUCCAGAGUUUUUAGUCCACAGUUUGGAUUGACUUUAGUCGUUUCACCAGUAUAGGACUUGGUUUCCUCUUCUAUAAAAUGAGAGAGUGGGACUCAAGGUUUUCCUUUUCAGGUUUAAUUUCCCAUCCCAUUAUUUGAAUUUCUGUGCCAGGCAAUGGUGUUGCAUUCACAGUAUACUGUAAGGCACUGUUCCCUGGGGAUGUUUAUCAUUUGGACCCAAGUUCAAGUAGUGAUGAAAUCAGUACCCGGGACUAGUGGGGAAAACUCUAGUCAUGGCUUGGGGGGCAAGCAGACUGUGGAAUAAAGUUUGCUCUAAAAUUUGCCUUUGGCAACAUAAACUUUGUCCCAUGUUUUGGGCUAUUUGUGAUCUCUCUAUGAGUAGGAUGUGAGGAUUCAGGGUAAAGAAACAGUAACUUCCCUAAAAAGGUCUUCUCUGGGCUCACCCUUCUUCUGAACUAUAUACUUUAGGUUGCUAGUUAGGUAUACAAGCUUGGAUGACCUGAUUUGAUUUUAAUUGUAUCCGUUUAUUAAGUUAGUGAAGCCAACCAUUCCAUCUUUAUUCUGUGUCAUUUUACAUAAAUGUGUUUGUUUAAUUCCCAAACUGUUUUCUCAGGGGGUAUGUGCAUGUUUGUGUAAAUUUAUUUAGUCAACACUUUUUUGAUAAGUACCUAGCAUGUAUCAGAAACAUUAGGUAGGCCCAUGGAGAAGGGCUCAUCCUAUUACUAAAGGAGAGCUUGACUCUUAUCCAGGGUUUGUUUAUCUUACACUUGCCACAGAGAAAAAACGAUCACCUCUGAAAACACAGCUUUGAGGCCCCAAAUAUAUAAAACUUAUGACAGUGCUAUAUCUCUUUCUAUUUCAUAUUUGUAUUCUUUUUAAAGAAGGUUUUAAGCUCAUAAUUUUCUAAGCACGAGUAUCCUGGUGUCACCUAUUAAGGCAAGGUAAUUAAAUUAAUAAAGCUAUGCUAUAAUAGGUAAAACUUUGGGAUGUUCAGAUGGGAAAUAGAAUGCAUUGAUCAUUGAUGCUUCAACCAUACUGUUAUUAUCUUCUGUUUCUAGAUACUCUUCUGAUGACACUUAUCAAACAUGAAACCUAUCCUUUCUCUGAGUAUUACCUAAUCCCUCAGGAAAUGAGUGGUACUUUGUUUUGGCUUUUUAUUAUUUUAGAUUUGGUGUUUUCCCUGGUUUUCAUUUUCUGAAUGUGAACAGAGAUUGACUCCAAAAGGAUUUUUUACUAGUUCAAUUUUUAGUUUAUAAUAUGAGGGCCAUGAACUAACUAACAAAUGUCUAUGGGAGUUCCCAUUGUGGCUCAGAGAAAAUAAACCUGACUAGUACCCAUGAGGACAUGGGUUCAGUCCCUGGCCUUGCUUAGUGGCCAUCAGCUGUGGUGUAGGUCAUAGAUGUGGCUCAGAUCCCGUGUUGCUGUGACAGUGGGUAGGCUGGAAGCUACAGCUCCAAUUCGACCCGUAGCCUAGGAACUUCCAUAUGUUGUGGGUGUGGCCC